ACUCCUACGGGACGCAGCAGUGGGGAAUAUUGCGCAAUGGGGGAAACCCUGAUGCAGCGACGCCGCGUGAGUGAAGAAGUAUUUCGGUAUGUAAAGCUCUAUCAGCAGGGAAGAAAAAAGACGGUACCUGACUAAGAAGCCCCGGCUAACUACGUGCCAGCAGCCGCGGUAAUACGUAGGGGGCAAGCGUUAUCCGGAUUUACUGGGUGUAAAGGGAGCGUAGACGGCAGUGCAAGUCUGAAGUGAAAGGCAAGGGCUCAACCCUUGGACUGCUUUGGAAACUGUGCUGCUGGAGUGUCGGAGAG
Molecule: ribosomal RNA, 305 nt
Filed under: uncultured bacterium
Lineage: Bacteria
Description: bacterial SSU rRNA
Rfam family: Bacterial small subunit ribosomal RNA
Source: RNAcentral